UACGAAGGGGGCUAGCGUUGCUCGGAAUCACUGGGCGUAAAGGGUGCGUAGGCGGGUUUUUAAGUCAGGGGUGAAAUCCUGGAGCUCAACUCCAGAACUGCCUUUGAUACUGAAGAUCUUGAGUUCGGGAGAGGUGAGUGGAACUGCGAGUGUAGAGGUGAAAUUCGUAGAUAUUCGCAAGAACACCAGUGGCGAAGGCGGCGCACUGGCCCGAUACUGACGCUGAGGCACGAAAGCGUGGGGAGCAAACAGG
Molecule: ribosomal RNA, 253 nt
Filed under: uncultured bacterium
Lineage: Bacteria
Description: partial 16S ribosomal RNA
Rfam family: Bacterial small subunit ribosomal RNA
Source: RNAcentral